UAGGGAAUCUUCCGCAAUGGACGCAAGUCUGACGGAGCAACGCCGCGUGAGUGAAGAAGGAUUUCGGUUCGUAAAACUCUGUUGUUAGAGAAGAACAGCGCAUAGAGUAACUGUUAUGCGUGUGACGGUAUCUAACCAGAAAGCCACGGCUAACUACGUGCCAGCAGCCGCGGUAAUACGUAGGUGGCAAGCGUUGUCCGGAUUUAUUGGGCGUAAAGCGAGCGCAGGCGGUCAAUUAAGUCUGAUGUGAAAGCCCCGGCUCAACCGGGGAGGGUCAUUUGAAACUGGUUGACUUGAGUGCAGAAGAGGAGAGUGGAAUUCCAUGUGUAGCGGUGAAAUGCGUAGAUAUAUGGGGGAACACCAGUGGCGAAGGCGACUCUCUGGUCUGUAACUGACGCUGAGGUUCGAAAGCGUGGGUAGCAAACAGG
This 428-nucleotide ribosomal RNA is filed under the name Bacteroidota bacterium. RNAcentral describes it as "Bacteroidetes bacterium partial 16S ribosomal RNA". It matches the Rfam family "Bacterial small subunit ribosomal RNA", at positions 355 to 776 of the family's 1533-position model. The record is from RNAcentral. Lineage: Bacteria; Pseudomonadati; Bacteroidota.